Molecule: transfer RNA, 87 nt
Filed under: Patescibacteria group bacterium
Lineage: Bacteria
Description: tRNA-Ser
Rfam family: tRNA
About the family: Transfer RNA (tRNA) molecules are approximately 80 nucleotides in length. Their secondary structure includes four short double-helical elements and three loops (D, anti-codon, and T loops).
Source: RNAcentral
GGAGAGGUGGCAGAGAGGUCGAUUGCACCAGUCUUGAAAACUGGAGUGCCUUAACGGGUACCGAGGGUUCGAAUCCCUCCCUCUCCG